UAGAGAUCUUAUAAUGAAGCUUGACAUGACUCCCUUUUCACCUAGGCAAGUGUAACAUCAUGUUUUCUGUUAUCUAAACUGGCACAGUUCAUAUCGAAAAAGAUUGGGAGAAGUGUCAACAUCAAUCAGAAUUCAACAUCUAGUGGUAUGUCACCAUUAAUACACUUCAACACGCUGCUGUGUUCUUUGCUGUACGAGAAAGAAUACACAGAACCACGGCUACAGGACUACUACAGUAACUCUUUCUUUGAGGAGGCCAUAUUCUGGAAAUCCAGGUUUCUUCGGGUAUGAAAAAAAUAUGUGCACUUGGGGAGAUAAGCAAACAAUGUUAUGGGAACUCCGGAUAUACAUGGCAUACUUGACAAUUUGUCUGAUUUGUGACAAUUUCAAAUCAUUUUUGUUUUCAGAUAGUUUACAUUUUUCCAAAAAAGGAUAGUUUACUUUUUUACAUAU
Vigna angularis (adzuki bean) is the source of this 453-nucleotide long non-coding RNA. RefSeq lists it as uncharacterized. Lineage: Eukaryota; Viridiplantae; Streptophyta; Magnoliopsida; Fabales; Fabaceae. The transcript is spliced from 3 exons. The record is from RefSeq and is a predicted model, not a curated record.